GAUGAACGCUGGCGGCGUGCCUAAUACAUGCAAGUCGAGCGAACGGACGAGAAGCUUGCUUCUCUGAUGUUAGCGGCGGACGGGUGAGUAACACGUGGAUAACCUACCUAUAAGACUGGGAUAACUUCGGGAAACCGUAGCUAAUACCGGAUAAUAUUUUGAACCGCAUGGUUCAAAAGUGAAAGACGGUCUUGCUGUCACUUAUAGAUGGAUCCGCGCUGCAUUAGCUAGUUAGUAAGGUAACGGCUUACCAAGGCAACGAUGCAUAGCCGACCUGAGAGGGUGAUCGGCCACACUGGAACUGAGACACGGUCCAGACUCCUACGGGAGGCAGCAGUAGGGAAUCUUCCGCAAUGGGCGAAAGCCUGACGGAGCAACGCCGCGUGAGUGAUGAAGGUCUUCGGAUCGUAAAACUCUGUUAUUAGGGAAGAACAUAUGUGUAAGUAACUGUGCACAUCUUGACGGUACCUAAUCAGAAAGCCACGGCUAACUACGU
RNAcentral lists this ribosomal RNA (496 nucleotides) under uncultured bacterium. Its description in RNAcentral is "partial 16S ribosomal RNA". It matches the Rfam family "Bacterial small subunit ribosomal RNA", at positions 28 to 506 of the family's 1533-position model. The record is from RNAcentral.